AUACGGAGGGUGCAAGCGUUACUCGGAAUCACUGGGCGUAAAGGAUGCGUAGGCGGAUAAUCAAGUCAAAAGUGAAAUCCUACAGCUUAACUGUAGAACUGCUUUCGAAACUGGUUAUCUAGAAUAUGGAAGAGGCAGAUGGAAUUAGUGGUGUAGGGGUAAAAUCCGUAGAGAUCACUAGGAAUACCGAUUGCGAAGGCGAUCUGCUGGGACAUUAUUGACGCUGAGGCAUGAAAGCGUGGGGAGCAAACAGGAUUAGAUACCCUAGUAGUCC
This 274-nucleotide ribosomal RNA is filed under the name uncultured bacterium. Its description in RNAcentral is "partial 16S ribosomal RNA". It matches the Rfam family "Bacterial small subunit ribosomal RNA", at positions 523 to 796 of the family's 1533-position model. The record is from RNAcentral.